AACGAACGCUGGCGGCAUGCCUAACACAUGCAAGUCGAACGAGACCUUCGGGCCUAGUGGCGCACGUGUGCGUAACGCGUGGGAACCUGCCCUUAGGUUCGGAAUAACUCCCCGAAAGGGGUGCUAAUACCGGAUAAUAUCUUCGGACCAAAGAUUUAUGGCCUUUGGAUGGGCCCGCGUUGGAUUAGCUCGUUGGUAGGGUAAAAGCCUACCAAGGCGACGAUGCAUAGCUGGUCUGAGAGGAUGAUCAGCCACACUGGGACUGAGACACGGCCCAGACUCCUACGGGAGGCAGCAGUGGGGAAUAUUGGACAAUGGGGGAAGGGCUGAUCCAGCAAUGCCGCGUGAGUGAUGAAGGCCUUAGGGUUGUAAAGCUCUUUUACCCGGGAUGAUAAUGACAGUACCGGGAGAAUAAGCUCCGGCUAACUCCGUG
This 433-nucleotide ribosomal RNA is filed under the name uncultured bacterium. RNAcentral describes it as "partial 16S ribosomal RNA". It matches the Rfam family "Bacterial small subunit ribosomal RNA", at positions 29 to 507 of the family's 1533-position model. The record is from RNAcentral.